UACGUAGGGUGCAAGCGUUAAUCGGAAUUACUGGGCGUAAAGCGUGCGCAGGCGGUUGUGCAAGCCCGAUGUGAAAUCCCCGGGCUUAACCUGGGAAUUGCAUUUGUGACUGCACGGCUAGAGUGUGUCAGAGGGGGGUAGAAUUCCACGUGUAGCAGUGAAAUGCGUAGAUAUGUGGAGGAAUACCGAUGGCGAAGGCAGCCCCCUGGGAUAACACUGACGCUCAUGCACGAAAGCGUGGGGAGCAAACAGG
Molecule: ribosomal RNA, 253 nt
Filed under: uncultured bacterium
Lineage: Bacteria
Description: partial 16S ribosomal RNA
Rfam family: Bacterial small subunit ribosomal RNA
Source: RNAcentral